RNAcentral lists this ribosomal RNA (336 nucleotides) under Triticum aestivum (bread wheat). RNAcentral describes it as "partial small subunit ribosomal RNA". The record is from RNAcentral. Lineage: Eukaryota; Viridiplantae; Streptophyta; Magnoliopsida; Poales; Poaceae.
AUGGGUGCUUAUGAGAUUGAAUCUAUGUUUAAAGAGUCUGAAGAUUUUGAUGAUUCACUUUACAGACCUAAAUUUUUUGCUAUACUUAGAUAUUGCUAUGAAAAUUAUGAAUACAAUUCCAAUAUUGAUGCAUUUAUUGAGAAAGUCUCCGCUGUCCAAGAAGAGACUAAUAUUUUGCAGGAAGCUAUGGAAAAAAAAAUUGAUGAAACUGUGAGCUCAUUGGAUGAAAAAGAUUAUGAAGAGAGCGAAGAACAAAAGGAGGAAGAGCGGAUUAGCUACCCGUGCCCACCUUUUAAUGAGAGUAACUCUCACUACAACAAAACAGAUGUUAAGUAA